Molecule: ribosomal RNA, 497 nt
Filed under: uncultured bacterium
Lineage: Bacteria
Description: partial 16S ribosomal RNA
Rfam family: Bacterial small subunit ribosomal RNA
Source: RNAcentral
GAUGAACGCUGGCGGCGUGCCUAAUACAUGCAAGUCGAGCGAACAGACGAGGAGCUUGCUCCUCUGACGUUAGCGGCGGACGGGUGAGUAACACGUGGAUAACCUACCUAUAAGACUGGGAUAACUUCGGGAAACCGGAGCUAAUACCGGAUAAUAUAUUGAACCGCAUGGUUCAAUAGUGAAAGACGGUUUUGCUGUCACUUAUAGAUGGAUCCGCGCCGAAUUAGCUAGUUGGUAAGGUAACGGCUUACCAAGGCAACGAUGCGUAGCCGACCUGAGAGGGUGGUCGGCCACACUGGAACUGAGACACGGUCCAGACUCCUACGGGAGGCAGCAGUAGGGAAUCUUCCGCAAUGGGCGAAAGCCUGACGGAGCAACGCCGCGUGAGUGAUGAAGGUCUUCGGAUCGUAAAACUCUGUUAUUAGGGAAGAACAAAUGUGUAAGUAACUAUGCACGUCUUGACGGUACCUAAUCAGAAAGCCACGGCUAACUACGUG